This 266-nucleotide ribosomal RNA is filed under the name uncultured bacterium. Its description in RNAcentral is "partial 16S ribosomal RNA". It matches the Rfam family "Bacterial small subunit ribosomal RNA", at positions 88 to 354 of the family's 1533-position model. The record is from RNAcentral.
UGACUGAGCGGCGGACGGGUGAGUAACGCGUGGGCAACCUGCCUUACACAGGGGGAUAACAGUUAGAAAUGACUGCUAAUACCGCAUAAGACCACAAAACCGCAUGGUUUGGUGGUAAAAACUCCGGUGGUGUAAGAUGGGCCCGCGUCUGAUUAGGUAGUUGGUGGGGUAACGGCCUACCAAGCCGACGAUCAGUAGCCGACCUGAGAGGGUGACCGGCCACAUUGGGACUGAGACACGGCCCAGACUCCUACGGAAGGCAGCAG